ACGGGUGAGUAACGCGUGGGUAACCUGCCUCACACAGGGGGAUAACAGUUGGAAACGGCUGCUAAUACCGCAUAAGCGCACAGUACCGCAUGGUACAGUGUGAAAAACUCCGGUGGUGUGAGAUGGACCCGCGUCUGAUUAGCUAGUUGGCAGGGCAACGGCCUACCAAGGCGACGAUCAGUAGCCGACCUGAGAGGGUGACCGGCCACAUUGGGACUGAGACACGGCCCAAACUCCUACGGGAGGCAGCAUG
RNAcentral lists this ribosomal RNA (253 nucleotides) under uncultured bacterium. RNAcentral's name for it is "partial 16S ribosomal RNA". It matches the Rfam family "Bacterial small subunit ribosomal RNA", at positions 102 to 353 of the family's 1533-position model. The record is from RNAcentral.